Molecule: ribosomal RNA, 253 nt
Filed under: uncultured bacterium
Lineage: Bacteria
Description: partial 16S ribosomal RNA
Rfam family: Bacterial small subunit ribosomal RNA
Source: RNAcentral
GACGGAGGGUGCUAGCGUUGUUCGGAUUUACUGGGCGUAAAGGGCGCGUAGGCGGCUUCGGUAGUCGGGUGUGAAAGCCCGGGGCUCAACCCCGGAACUGCACCCGAUACUCCGUGGCUCGAGACCGGGAGAGGAGGGUGGAAUACCCAGUGUAGAGGUGAAAUUCGUAGAUAUUGGGUGGAACACCGGUGGCGAAAGCGGCUCUCUGGCCCGGUUCUGACGCUGAGGCGCGAAAGCGUGGGGAGCAAACAGG